GGCUGCUCUGAUAGUAGCAGGUUAUCAGAACUUAUUAACAUUGCUGUCAAUAAAGUUGGUAUACAACCCCCCACUGCUAAAUUUGACUGGAAAG
This 94-nucleotide non-coding RNA is filed under the name Propithecus coquereli (Coquerel's sifaka). The record is from RNAcentral. Lineage: Eukaryota; Metazoa; Chordata; Mammalia; Primates; Indriidae.